UUCCUGUUUUUUCCUUUAUCUUUCUUUUCCCAUUUGUUUUCAAUUUUGGAUUUUUUGUGUGUUUUUUCUAUUUUUUUAAAAGGUUCAUCGUAACCUAUUAAUACGGGAUUUAUUUUUGAAGAUCUCAAUGCGAAAAUCCAAUGACGAAGAUCUCAAUGUGUUUUUUUUCUUUUCGGAUCAUGCGGAGCUGUUGGGCCACGGCCCGCUCAACACGCCUGCGGGCGCUGUAGCUCCCAUCGGCGGUCGGCGCUCCCGUCGUCCUCCACGUCGCCGUCCUUCCUCCGUCUCUCCAAGCUUGUUUUUGCUUCUUUAUAUCUGCACUCCGCGACCUCUCGUGCGCCGGAGUGAACUGGGACCAGCUGGAGAUAGGGUUGAGGGGGCCGAUGGUGGCCGGCGAGCACCGGCGCCGGCAACGGGAGUGAUGGAGGAGGCGGAGGGACAGGCGCCGUUGUGGACAGCGCGCGCGCGGCGGAGCGGGCUGGGGCAGGCGCCGCCUGUCUCUCGGGCUCGGCCCACAUACUUGCACGUGAUUGGUGUAACGUUGUGGAUAAACCAAAGGCAUAUGUAUGCGUCAUCAGAACUUUGUUGUUGGUGAACAUAUUCUUACACCAUCUUCAGGCACCGAGUCGCCAAUCAAGGAUUGUGCUACAAGUGUGAAGUGAUAAUUUUACUGUUUUGAGCACUGAAGCUGACAGGAUUGAAAUUUUGACAACUCAAUUUCAAUCUGUCUACAUAUAUCACCAGAAUACUAGAAAAGGUUGAUUGAGAUCCUCUGCCACGGCAUAACAAAUUUCAGCACAAACAUCAGAAGAUUAGGAAAGGUCGAUGGAACUCUGAAGCGUGAGCUGCCAAUUUCCUGUCAUCCCAAGGUAAUCGUCAGAAGUCACAUUUAUCGCAUAUUGUUCACCCACGCACGAAAUUAUGCAUCAAGUUUAUUUUUCAGUUCUUGUCCAUCUUUAAAAUUCAACGGCAUACUUUCAGUUCGGUUGUCCUAGUUUAUACAUGAUAAAUGACUAUAAAAGUUUGUCCGUAUUUUUUUUAAGGCAACUAGUAGUCUAAUGCAACACAACAGCUAUAGAACGUAGCACAGAAGCAAAGAAAGAGAACAGGAAAUGAGCUAUACGUAGUGACAUCCUCAAGCCUUAUACUUAGCACCAACACCAUGGACACAACCCGAGAAGCAGGAAUAGUGUUGUUGGAUUAAUUAAAAGGUAUCCUGAUGUCGUGAAAAACAAAGAGAAAAUGUCACCCCCUUACCCAACGAUCACUCUUCACCUCACAGGACUAGGAGAAUCGCAGCCCUGUCGAAGAGCAGCCCGUUGCCAUUGCCGCGUCUGAUCGUUUACAGUGCAUGAUCCAAGACAGUGUGUAGUAAUACUCUCGGGUUGUGACUUCUAAUUGGUGACUUAACUUGGGAUGGUGAUGGGAAACUGGCAGCUCACACUUCAGAGUGCCAAGUCCAGACGGUCUCCACCAACCUUCCUAAUCUUCUGUUGUUUGUGUUGAAAUUUGUUAUGCCGUUACAGCAACGGCAGAUGAUCUUCUAAGUAUUAUUUGUAAUAAAUUUGGACCAUUCAGACUUAAAAAGUAAACAGGUACUCCCUCCGUUCCAAAGUAGACGACUCAACUUUGUACUAACUUAAAAUAGUAUAAAGUUGGGUUAUCUAUUUUAGAAUGGAGGGAGUACAUCUAAAGAUGGACUGUUAGAUGCAAAUUUUUCAACAUUCUACACCCAUUGUUGACCGUUACCUAUCAGCGCUUUUUUCAAAUACGUAUUGGAAAUUUGCUGUUGAAAAUCCUACAGAACAGUAUUGCGUCCUGACAAAUUUUCCGCACCAUCUUGUUAGAAUCUGACGGUUUCUUACGGUAGAUUUUUACUGCACGGAAUACUAGAAAAGGUUGACUGAGAUCCUCUGCCAUUGAUGUAACGGCAUAAUAAAUUUCAGCAUGAACAGCAGAAAAUUAGGAAGGUUGAUGUAACUCUGGAGCGAAGCUGCCAAUUUCCUGUCAUCCCAAAGUAAUAGUAAGAAGUCAUAUUUAGAGCGCAUUGUUCAUCCACGCGUGGAAUUAUGCAUCAAGUUUAUUUUUGGGUUCUUGUCCAUCUUUAAAAUUCAACGGUAUACUUUCUGUCUGGUUGUCCCAGUUUACAUGAUAUAAAGUGACUAUAGAAGUUUGUCCGUAAUUUUAUAAGGCAAAUAGUA
Long non-coding RNA from Aegilops tauschii subsp. strangulata, 2201 nucleotides. RefSeq lists it as uncharacterized. Lineage: Eukaryota; Viridiplantae; Streptophyta; Magnoliopsida; Poales; Poaceae. The record is from RefSeq and is a predicted model, not a curated record.